This is a long non-coding RNA of Heterocephalus glaber (naked mole-rat), 1627 nucleotides long. Lineage: Eukaryota; Metazoa; Chordata; Mammalia; Rodentia; Bathyergidae. The record is from Ensembl.
GUCUGAGAGUUGCUGGUCUGGUCUCUAAUGUCAAACCGUUCUCUCUCAGAAACAUGAAUUACCAAAAUUAAACUAAAAACAAUUAUUGCUGGGCCUGGUGGUGCCUGUAAUCCUACCACACAGGAGGCUGAGGCAAAAGGAUCACCGCCAGCGCAAAUCCAGCCUGGGCUACACAAGCUAACCAUGCCCUGAGACAUGAAGAUGAAGAUCAGAGCAAAUAGAUUUGGCUACAGUUGGGCACCUAAUUAGUCACCAGGGCUGCUUGUAUCUCCAGCAGCAUAGAUAUUGUCAGCAUCAAUGACCCCUUCAUUGGCCUCAACAACAUGAAUUAUGUGUUCCAGUAUGAGUCUGCCUAUGGCAAAUUCAAUGGCACAGACAGAGUGGAGAACAGGAAGCUUGUCAUCAAUGGAAAGGCCAUCUCCAUCAUCCAAGAGCAAGAUCUUACCAACAUCAACUGGGGUGAUAGUUAUGCUAAAUAUGUUGUGAAAUCCAGUGGUGUCUCCACUACCAUGAAGAAGGCUUGGGUCAAUUGAAGGGUAAAAUAGAAAGGCUUGUCAUUUCUGUCCCUUCUGCUGAUGUUCCCAUGUUGGUGAUGGGCUUGAUCCAAGAAGAAUAUGACAACUCCCUUAAGAUCAUAAGGAAAACUUUCUGUUCUACCAGGUGUUUAACCCUUCCCCCCAUCAAGGUCAUCCAUGGCAACUUUGGCACUGUGGAGGGACUCAGGACUACAGUCCCUACCAUCAUUGCCACUCAGAAGACCAUGAAUGUAACCCCUUUAGGAAACGGUAGCUUGAUGGCCAUGGGGCUGCCCAGAACACCAUACUUAGAUCUACUGGCACUGUCAACACUGUGGACAAGGUCAUUCAUUGUGUAAUGGGAAGUUCAAUGGCCUGGUCUUUUGUCUGCCUACCUCCAGUGUGGCAGUUUGAAAUCUGACCUUGUGUCUGUGAAAAGCUGCCAGAUAUGAUGCCAUCAAGAUGGUGGUAAAGGAGGUAUCGAAGGGCCCUCUAACAGGGAUCUUUGCUCCAUUGAUACAUUAUCACCACAUGACAGAUUUAGUUCUUAUUGGUGCAUUGGUUUAUUGCCUUCCUCUCCUGCUCUAGCUGGUGACCUCCAUGAGAACAAGGACCUCAUCUAUUUUGAUCACUGUAAUGCCCCUACUGUUCAAAAAGCACUUGGCUUAAUAGUACUUCCUUCAUUAGAAUGUAUUUAGUUUCUGAAUCCUGGAAUGAUUUGUGGAAGAAUCUUGAAAUAGCUCUGGUACAUGGCUUAUUUUUAGUAACAUUGCCCCGGGUGAUACAUUUACUUAUAUUUUCUGGAACAUCUUUCUAGUAUUGGUCAUUCUACCAUGGGCUGUAGUUCCAGCACAUAUAAUGUAAAGUUUAUGGCAGCUUUUAAAAGGAGGAAAUGGUAGGGUUUAGAGACUAUAAAAUCUGCCUGUGCCUUACAUAGGAUGAGGAAACGUGAAAGUAUUUUAAUACCAAAGGUUGGAGUCGCGGUUCCUUUUAUCUUCCUUCUCCAGAAAUUACUUUUAAUUUAAAGAACAUGCCAGGGUAAUUUCUGUCAGUAAACAAAUGGAAUUUGAAAGUGAAUGUAUUAACAUAACUAUAUUUGCUUAGCACAAGGC